UCGCAAUUAUCAAAUCCUAAAUAAUUAUGGUUUUCUACUACAAUUUUUAAUUAGUUUUCUAAUAUUCUCCCGUAAUUCAAGGAUAUAUAUGACUUUUGUAGUAUUGGAGCACUUCUCUCCAAUCUUCUACAUUUGUUGAAGCACUUGUCUCUAACUCUCGUUGAUGUACUUUGCCACCAACAAUCAAUUUUAUUGAAGCACAUGUCUCCAACUUCCGUUGUUGCACUUUUUCACCAACACCCAAUUUUGUUGAAGCACCAGUCUUGAACUCCCGUUAAUGCACUUUGUCACCAAUAUCAAAUUUUGCUGAAGUACAUAUCUACAAUUCUCAUUGAUGCACUUUGUCACCAACAAUAAUGUUUUGAAGUAUCUGUCUUCAACUCCCGUUGAUGCACUUUGUCACCAAAAUUCAAUUGUGUUGAAACACCUGUUUUCAACACCCGUUGAUGCACUUUGUCACCAACACUCAACUUUGUUGAUUUACGUGCAAUCAACUUCCAACUUUUUAAAAUCUUUCUCCAACUUUGAAAAGUUUCUUCUUCUUAUAUCAUAUUUGCUUGCACCUCUUUAAAUUUGCUUUUUUUCUUGGAUCUUUCUUGAAACUUUUCACCAAAUAAUCUAAUUUUAUUGACAACCGCCUAUAAUUUUGCCAACUUAUAUUGUUUGCCAGACUGGCGGCACAACUUGGCUAAUGGUGCUCUCCGGUAACGGAAGCUACUUGAUUCUUUUCCAAAAUCGUAGAAGUUCUGAUACCAAUUUGAAGGAAGAUAUAUUAUAAAAAUCUCUGAAAGGUCACUAUAAUACUAUACUUCUCCAUACAUAAAAUAAGCUAUUAAUACCUUUAUUUAUAAUAGUACGAAAUUUAACAAGAAAUAGGAAAUCAUAUUCCUAUAUUAAUUUUGACUAUAAAUCCUAUAUAACUAUGAAUUAAAUAACUUGCAAAUAUCAAAUCCUAAGCAAUUAUGGUUUCUUAUUUCAACUUUCAAUUAGUUUUCCUAUAGAUUUGUUCAGCUUGGCAUUCUGAAAAUCUGUAGUUUUCCUCUUGAAAAUAACAAAAUAUGAACUAGGGUAUCGCCAAAGAAGAUGUUGUUUUUUUGGUUUUGUUAUAUACAUUGGAACUCGAUUAAAUUUUGGUUCGUGUUAGAAAUCCUCACAUUAGAGAAAGAGGGCUAAGUCGUCGGAGAGCUUACAGGGACUGGGAAAGGCAGUUGGAUAAUAGAGCCGGGGUAGGGGCAAAUCGAAGGUAUUGCCUAUCAGGAUUGAGCACUGACGAGCCUCGACUUGGGCCAACAUUAAUGACAAAAGAAAAACUUCCUCCAUCGUACCAGUAAUCGGCUAGGAUUCAAUAUCAGGUUUAGGAUUCAAGUCAAAUUGAUCUUUUCUCUCAUCUCAGUAUGAGGUAAAGAAUUG
RNAcentral lists this long non-coding RNA (1410 nucleotides) under Nicotiana benthamiana. RNAcentral describes it as "long non-coding RNA (NBEN_LNC016327)". Lineage: Eukaryota; Viridiplantae; Streptophyta; Magnoliopsida; Solanales; Solanaceae. The record is from RNAcentral.